Molecule: transfer RNA, 92 nt
Filed under: Acidimicrobium ferrooxidans DSM 10331
Lineage: Bacteria; Bacillati; Actinomycetota; Acidimicrobiia; Acidimicrobiales; Acidimicrobiaceae
Also listed under: 1 other name
Description: tRNA-Ser (GCT) (tRNA-Ser-GCT-1-1)
Rfam family: tRNA
About the family: Transfer RNA (tRNA) molecules are approximately 80 nucleotides in length.
Source: RNAcentral
GGAGAGGUGCCAGAGCGGCCGAAUGGGACUCACUGCUAAUGAGUUGACCCGCGAAAGUGGGUCCGAGGGUUCAAAUCCCUCCCUCUCCGCCA